This 414-nucleotide ribosomal RNA is filed under the name Triticum aestivum (bread wheat). RNAcentral's name for it is "partial small subunit ribosomal RNA". Lineage: Eukaryota; Viridiplantae; Streptophyta; Magnoliopsida; Poales; Poaceae. The record is from RNAcentral.
AUGCAGGAAUACCUCUCCUCUAAGUGCAUCGCUGAGAAGGAGCUAGUCAAGUACAACGACCGCCCCUCCAAGGGCAGAGCGUUCGACAUCAUCGUCCUGCUACUGGGCCUCGUAGCAGGAGACACCCUCGGCCUCCUGCCCUACAUCAACAAAAGCCAGCACUUCAUGCUGUCGCCGUUCACCGGCAUCGAGCCUUACCACAACGCCCUCAGGUUCACGCAGGCCGUCCUCGGCGCCGUGCCGGUGGUGCACGUCGACGACGUCAGCGAGGCGCACGUCUUCUGCAUGGAGCGCCAGCACGACGUGGCCGCCGGCCGGUACCUCUGCGCCACCGCGCACACCAACAUGCAGGAUAUGGUGGAGCACUACGCGGGCAAGCAUCCCGAGCUCAAGCUAAUGUGUAGAACUAUGUAG